RNAcentral lists this long non-coding RNA (907 nucleotides) under Monodelphis domestica (gray short-tailed opossum). RNAcentral describes it as "lncRNA (ENSMODG00000037559.1)". The record is from RNAcentral. Lineage: Eukaryota; Metazoa; Chordata; Mammalia; Didelphimorphia; Didelphidae.
GAGACAACUGCAGAUGUUCCACUCAGAGAGCAUGGACUUCUAAGAGCAUGGUAUCUCUUUUCUGCUAUGAGUGGGUCAUUUUAUACUUCCUAAAGGGAGCUAAAAUUAUAAGUUGCCCAUCUGGAGCAGAGAAAAUGAUCUUGUUCCUAAGACAUAGAUUGCCUUAAAAUUGUUUUCCCAGCCACUCCGAACUCUUCCAAAUGGGAGCUCUCAAGUGUAUUGCUUUCACUCCAGGUUUUCAAGCAGAGACUGCAUGACAAUUCAUUGGGUCUGGUAAGAAAAAGGGCAUACAUUGCACUCAGUGGGGUCAGAAGGAGGUCCUUUAUGGGAGAAAACAACUCCUGUGAUUCUUCACCCACUGAGCAUCUGCUUGCCUUUGAAACAAGCCUGGAUUUGUGAUUUCUGUAAAGCUAUAACCUGUUUCCUAAGGAUCUUCAGAACCCAAAAGGACUCCAGCUAUUUCCAGUUCCCAGAAGCUAUUCUUCUAGUGGCAUCAGGGGCCCUGCCUAGAGAGGAGUCAAGUGGGAGCCUACACAAUAACUGUCGUAGGACAUGGAGAUAUCCUGUAUUCACCCAGCAUGGACCAGCCAAGUACAUAGACUCAAGGAUCCUAUGGAGCUAGAAUGGCUUCAGAUGUUUGUCUGAUAAUUAUUAUUUGAUAAUGAUAAUUAGCAUUUAUUAAGCUGCCAGGUACUGUUCUAAGCCCUGGAGCUAAAAAGAAAAGCAAAGGAUAGGUACUGCCCUCAAAGAGCUUAUGAUCUAAUGGGGAAGACAAUACAUGAAAAGAAUCUGAAAAGUGGAGGAUGAGAUGUCAGCAAGAGGCAUGAUGUAUUCCAAAGGAAUUCAAUUUAGCCUUGAAGUGUAUGCAGUUCUUCAAGGUUUUGCUGUAGUAGAAACAGUUAUAUUU